RNAcentral lists this ribosomal RNA (497 nucleotides) under uncultured bacterium. Its description in RNAcentral is "partial 16S ribosomal RNA". It matches the Rfam family "Bacterial small subunit ribosomal RNA", at positions 28 to 507 of the family's 1533-position model. The record is from RNAcentral.
GAUGAACGCUGGCGGCGUGCCUAAUACAUGCAAGUCGAGCGAACAGACGAGGAGCUUGCUCCUCUGACGUUAGCGGCGGACGGGUGAGUAACACGUGGAUAACCUACCUAUAAGACUGGGAUAACUUCGGGAAACCGGAGCUAAUACCGGAUAAUAUAUUGAACCGCAUGGUUCAAUAGUGAAAGACGGUUUUGCUGUCACUUAUAGAUGGAUCCGCGCCGCAUUAGCUAGUUGGUAAGGUAACGGCUUACCAAGGCAACGAUGCGUAGCCGACCUGAGAGGGUGAUCGGCCACACUGGAACUGAGACACGGUCCAGACUCCUACGGGAGGCAGCAGUAGGGAAUCUUCCGCAAUGGGCGAAAGCUUGACGGAGCAACGCCGCGUGAGUGAUGUAGGUCUUCGGAUCGUAAAACUCUGUUAUUAGGGAAGAACAAAUGUGUAAGUAACUAUGCACGUCUUGACGGUACCUAAUCAGAAAGCCACGGCUAACUACGUG